GAUCCCUGGGCAGAUGGAAACUGAGGCUAAGCCAGAGCUCGUAACACCUGUGACCUGCUGCCAAACUCCACCAUGGCAGGAAGAUCUCAAUACAGCUGCCUGGGACUGUGGGGCUGCUCUUUUUGGAAGGCCACGAAUCGCUUACCUAAGCCUCCAGAAGUACCGAUGCGGAUAAUGGUAACGUCCCGGCAUUUUGCAUGGUGCAGCAGUUUGAUCAGCUCAUGAAGCAUGAUGGAAAUGGAAGGAAUGCCCAUCCCAUGCUGUUGGAAGGAGAGAAAAGAGAAAUGUCAGUGCUUGUGAGGCUGCAGCAGGGGACAGGUUCUCCUCAUCAGUAGGGAAGGUGUUCAUCCCUGGGGACCCUGUGCAGGCGCACAAAUGGUGCCUCUCUUUCAAGACAGGUCUCCACAAACAUGUCCUAACAGCUGAGUGCUCCAAGACCUUCCCCUUGCACUGCUGUCCUAAUGCCAUGUGCUGGCUCAGACUCUGUCAUGUCUUGCUUGUGCUCUGGGAGUGAUGAAUUUCAGCAAGGACAACCAGAGCCUCCACUUCUCCAAGUGCCUUCCAGCCUGUCCUUGCCCCAAGCCAGAGCAUCUCCACCACAUUGCUGGGCACCAAGGAUGACAGAAGGGUUCAUGUCCCUCAGUAAGGACAGGUUUCAG
Myiozetetes cayanensis is the source of this 659-nucleotide long non-coding RNA. RefSeq lists it as uncharacterized. The transcript is spliced from 3 exons. The record is from RefSeq and is a predicted model, not a curated record. Lineage: Eukaryota; Metazoa; Chordata; Aves; Passeriformes; Tyrannidae.